Molecule: long non-coding RNA, 1263 nt
Filed under: Setaria italica (foxtail millet)
Lineage: Eukaryota; Viridiplantae; Streptophyta; Magnoliopsida; Poales; Poaceae
Description: long non-coding RNA (SITA_LNC001226)
Source: RNAcentral
UUAGAGUGGAGGGCCGUGUGUGAGGGAAGGAGGAGUCCAGGAGGAGGAAGGAGGAGGCCGGGAGGAGGAGGAGCAAGGAGAAGAAGGCGCUGUUCGCGGGAGGAAGAGGACGCCGCCCGAAGCCGUCGCCGCCGGAGGAGCCGCUGAAGCCGCCGUCACCGCCGGACCUCGUCGCCGCACCGCCGUCGUCUUCAUCUCCGACAAGAAAGCCUUGUGAGCCUGCUCUGCCGCCCUUUCCUUUUCCGCCUAUAGCCUAGGCCUAGCUUAGUUGUAGACGUUGGCCAACCGUAGAGAACCGCGCUGCCUGUGUUGUUGCCAUCGUCCUGCUCGCCGCGCGCGUCAACACGCUGCUCGCUUGCGCCUUGUUCACGCGCUGCGCCGCGCCGCACCUUGGCCUCGCCUGCUCGCUCGCGCUCUACCGCUCGCGCCGCGCGCACGCGCCCUUCGCCUCGCGCCGCACCGAGCCUUGGCAUCACACUGCCAGCACGCGCACUGCGCCCGUCGCCCGCGCGCUCGCCUUCGCCGCGCCGUUCGCGGUCACCGCCUGCCAGCAGCUCGCCAUUCGCGCCCAUACCACGCCUCAGCGCGCCGCCGCUAGUCACGUGGCCGCCACGUAGGCGCCACGUGGCAGGUGAGGGCCCACCGUUAACCAAGUGGGGCCCAUCGUUGACCUUGACAAGUCAACGCUGACGUAGUGUUGAUGUCAGCAAGCAUGACGACCGCCCAAGAACUGCCACGUGUCAAACCCUAAUAAAUCAGCCUUUUUGGAAUUAAAUAAAUGAUUAAUAAAUCCUUUAAACUUUAAAAAUUCGUAGCUAAUUCAUCUUAACUCAGAAAAAAUAUGAAACCAGUUGCAAUAAGUUUGUAAAAUCGAACCCGUGCUAUUUGUAGCUAGUUUGGAGUUAUUUGGAUCUUCUAUCUUGUUCUUCUUGAUAUUUUUGCAUUAGAUGUAUUGCUCGUUGUUUAUUUUCGCGUUGUUUGUUGUAGACCCGUUUGAAGACCCGAGCUGCGACAAUCAAGAAGACCUUUCGACCUCGACUUCAAUGGCAAGGACUUCGGCAAACAAAUAUAACGUGUCAUGUCACUCCCAAACAUAUAGAUCCUAUGCAUGCUUAGUUGCUAGCGUUGUAUUUAUGAUGCUUGCUUGAUGAUGGAUUGCAUAGCCAAUGUUUUAGCCAAGCCUUGAUAAUUAUUAUACUUGUUUCCUUGCUUUUGUGGACAAGCUAUAGACCCUAGCUAGUCCACCAUUAUUUCAUCCAUAUA